RNAcentral lists this ribosomal RNA (469 nucleotides) under Nesticella qiongensis. RNAcentral's name for it is "partial 16S ribosomal RNA". It matches the Rfam family "Bacterial large subunit ribosomal RNA", at positions 1808 to 2619 of the family's 2925-position model. The record is from RNAcentral. Lineage: Eukaryota; Metazoa; Arthropoda; Arachnida; Araneae; Nesticidae.
CAAAAACAUUUUUUAAUGAUUUUAUAUUAAAUAUGACCUGCCCCUUGUGUAUAUAAAAAGCCGCAGAAAAUUUACUGUGCUAAGGUAGCAUAAUCACUUGUCUUUUAACUGAAGACUAGAAUGAAAGGUUUCACACUUGAUCCUCUUUUUUGGUUGUAAAAAUCUAACUUUUAAUAAAAAUAAAAAUAUUUUUAUUUUCUUAAAAGACGACAAGACCCUUAUGAACUUAACUGAAGUUAGGCUGGGGAAGCCCUAUAAUUAUAAUCUUAAUGCCUUUUUUUAAAUAAGUAACCAAAAUAGAACCACAAUCAAGUUACCAAAGGGAUAACAGCGUUAUAUUUUUUCAAAGUUCUUAUUAAUAAAACAAUAUACAACCUCGAUGUUGAAUUAAUUUUCCUUCCUUGUGCAAAAAUAAGUAAAGUGAGUCUGUUCGACUUUUAAAAAAUUACAUGAUCUGAGUUCAAACCGG